UAAACAAGUACAAAAUGCUAACCAAUCUUGAA
RNAcentral lists this non-coding RNA (32 nucleotides) under Rattus norvegicus (Norway rat). Lineage: Eukaryota; Metazoa; Chordata; Mammalia; Rodentia; Muridae. The record is from RNAcentral.